CUGGAGACAAAGAGGAGAAGGAUAUACUGUAGUGAUAUACUGUAGUGAUAUACUGUAGUGAUAUACUGUAGUGAGGAGGAGGAUAUACUGUAGUGAUAUACUGUAGUGGAGAGGAUGAGGAUAUACUGUAGUGAUAUACUGUCGUGUUGAGGAUAUACUGUAGUGAUAUACUGUGAGGAGGAUAUAAUGUAGUGAUAUACUGUAGUGAUAUACUGUAGUGGAGAGGAGGAGGAUAUAAUGUAGUGAUAUACUGUCGUGUUGAGGAUAUACUGUAGUGAUAUUGUCGUGUUGAGGAUAUACUGUAGUGAUAUACUGUGAGGAGGAUAUAAUGUAGUGAUAUACUGUCGUGUUGAGGAUAUACUGUAGUGAUAUACUGUAGUGGAGAGGAGGAGGAUAUAAUGUAGUGAUAUACUGUCUGAUAUACUGUGAGGAUAUAAUGUAGUGAUAUACUGUCGUGUUGAGGAUAUACUGUAGUGAUAUACUGUAGUGGAGAGGAGGAGGAUAUAAUGUAGUGAUAUACUGUCGUGUUAAGGAUAUACUGUAGUGAUAUUCUGUAGUGGAGAGAGGAGGAUAUACUGUAGUGAUAUACUGUA
Molecule: long non-coding RNA, 593 nt
Organism: Oncorhynchus tshawytscha (Chinook salmon)
Lineage: Eukaryota; Metazoa; Chordata; Actinopteri; Salmoniformes; Salmonidae
Source: Ensembl